GCAGACUCACUCUGCACCCGACUGCAGCCCCAGGCGGGUGCUUUUUUCGUCUGCCAGAGAAACGUUCCAGGUGCUGUGACCGCCUGACCUGUUAAGGACGAUGCAGCCACCUGGGGAUACAUGC
RNAcentral lists this small nucleolar RNA (124 nucleotides) under Carlito syrichta (Philippine tarsier). Its description in RNAcentral is "Small nucleolar RNA SNORA77 (ENSTSYG00000023239.2)". It matches the Rfam family "Small nucleolar RNA SNORA77". Rfam says of the family: ACA63 (SNORA77) is a member of the H/ACA class of snoRNAs that guide the sites of modification of uridines to pseudouridines. This snoRNA was identified by computational screening and its expression in mouse experimentally verified by Northern blot and primer extension analysis. Lineage: Eukaryota; Metazoa; Chordata; Mammalia; Primates; Tarsiidae. The record is from Rfam by way of RNAcentral.